RNAcentral lists this ribosomal RNA (404 nucleotides) under Verrucomicrobiota bacterium. RNAcentral describes it as "Verrucomicrobia bacterium partial 16S ribosomal RNA". It matches the Rfam family "Bacterial small subunit ribosomal RNA", at positions 355 to 776 of the family's 1533-position model. The record is from RNAcentral. Lineage: Bacteria; Pseudomonadati; Verrucomicrobiota.
UGGGGAAUAUUGCACAAUGGGGGAAACCCUGAUGCAGCGACGCCGCGUGAGCGAUGAAGGCUUUCGAGUCGUAAAGCUCUGUCCUAUGGGAAGAUAAUGACGGUACCAUAGAAGAAAGCCCCGGCUAAUUACGUGCCAGCAGCCGCGGUAAUACGUAAGGGGCGAGCGUUGUCCGGAAUUAUUGGGCGUAAAGAGUGCGUAGGCGGCAAAUUAAGUCAGAUGUGAAAACUAAGGGCUCAACCCAUAGAUUGCAUCUGAAACUGAUAUGCUUGAGUCAAGGAGAGGAAAGUGGAAUUCCUAGUGUAGCGGUGGAAUGCGUAGAUAUUAGGAGGAAUACCGGUGGCGAAGGCGACUUUCUGGACUUGAACUGACGCUGAGGUACGAAAGCGUGGGUAGCAAACAGG